CCCGUAGCCAUUUUGGCUCAAGGCGAAAGCAGCUUAAUAUUGUCCUGAUGAGUCGUUAAAAGCAGAAGUCAUUUUGCUUGCAACCCAUAGCGAAGCAAUCAUAAAACAUAUA
This 112-nucleotide small RNA is filed under the name Karlodinium veneficum. RNAcentral describes it as "trans-spliced leader sequence SL-like". The record is from RNAcentral. Lineage: Eukaryota; Dinophyceae; Gymnodiniales; Kareniaceae.